RNAcentral lists this ribosomal RNA (465 nucleotides) under uncultured bacterium. Its description in RNAcentral is "partial 16S ribosomal RNA". It matches the Rfam family "Bacterial small subunit ribosomal RNA", at positions 28 to 507 of the family's 1533-position model. The record is from RNAcentral.
GACGAACGCUGGCGGCGUGCUUAACACAUGCAAGUCGAACGGAAAGGUCCUGCUUGCAGGGUACUCGAGUGGCGAACGGGUGAGUAACACGUGGGUGAUCUGCCCUGCACUUCGGGAUAAGCCUGGGAAACUGGGUCUAAUACCGGCUAGGAGCCAUUUUUAGUGUGAUGGUUGGAAAGUUUUUUCGGUGUAGGGUGAGCUCGCGGCCUAUCAGCUUGUUGGUGGGGUAAUGGCCUACCAAGGCGGCGACGGGUAGCCGGCCUGAGAGGGUGGACGGCGACAUUGGGACUGAGAGACGGCCCAGACUCCUACGGGAGGCAGCAGGGGGGAAUAUUGCACAAUGGGCGCAAGCCUGAUGCAGCGACGCCGCGUGGGGGAUGACGGCCUUCGGGUUGUAAACUCAUUUCGCUAGGGACGAAGCUUUUUGUGACGGUACCUAGAUAAGAAGCACCGGCUAACUACGUG